CGGCAAAAGCUCAAAUUUGAAAUCUGGCCUCCCAUGGAGGUCCGAGUUGUAAUUUGCAGAGGGCGCUUUGGCGUCGGCAGCGGUCUAAGUUCCUUGGAACAGGACGUCACAGAGGGUGAGAAUCCCGUACGUGGUCGCCUGCCUUCGCCGUGUAAAGCCCCUUCGAC
Molecule: ribosomal RNA, 167 nt
Filed under: Dictyocheirospora sp.
Lineage: Eukaryota; Fungi; Ascomycota; Dothideomycetes; Pleosporales; Dictyosporiaceae
Description: partial large subunit ribosomal RNA
Rfam family: Eukaryotic large subunit ribosomal RNA
Source: RNAcentral